AGAUUGAACGCUGGCGGCGUGCCUAACACAUGCAAGUCGAGCGGUAACAGGUGUAGCAAUACAUGCUGACGAGCGGCGAACGGGUGAGUAAUGCUUUGGAAUCUUCCCAGUAGUGGGGAAUAACCAGUCGAAAGAUUGGCUAAUACCGCAUACGUCUGUAAAGGGAAAGCGGGGCUCGUAAGACCUCGCGCUAUUGGAUGAGCCAAAGUCGGAUUAGCUAGUUGGUGGGGUAAUGGCCCACCAAGACUGUGAUCGGUA
This 258-nucleotide ribosomal RNA is filed under the name uncultured bacterium. Its description in RNAcentral is "partial small subunit ribosomal RNA". It matches the Rfam family "Bacterial small subunit ribosomal RNA", at positions 26 to 285 of the family's 1533-position model. The record is from RNAcentral.